This 215-nucleotide unclassified non-coding RNA is filed under the name Hevea brasiliensis (rubber tree). Lineage: Eukaryota; Viridiplantae; Streptophyta; Magnoliopsida; Malpighiales; Euphorbiaceae. The record is from RNAcentral.
UGGUAUCGUGGUGUUCGCCGGCAUGGGCUGAUCAUGGGAUGUUCUGUGACAGGUGUUAAACCUGCAUAUGGAGAUUCUCCUUUACAGCUUGGUCCAAAGCAAGAGGACGUGGCAAAGCCGGUGAACCCAUUUGUGUUCCUUCUGCGUUUUAUUUUGGGUGCCAUGGCAGCAACAUACUAUGUACUGGUGCCUAUCUACAUGUGGCUCAAAGAUCA